This 529-nucleotide ribosomal RNA is filed under the name uncultured bacterium. Its description in RNAcentral is "bacterial SSU rRNA". It matches the Rfam family "Bacterial small subunit ribosomal RNA", at positions 980 to 1509 of the family's 1533-position model. The record is from RNAcentral.
CUUGACAUCCAGAGAAUUUAGCAGAGAUGCUUUAGUGCCUUCGGGAACUCUGAGACAGGUGCUGCAUGGCUGUCGUCAGCUCGUGUUGUGAAAUGUUGGGUUAAGUCCGCAACGAGCGCAACCCUUAUCCUUUGUUGCCAGCGCGUAAUGGUGGGAACUCAAAGGAGACUGCCGGUGAUAAACCGGAGGAAGGUGGGGAUGACGUCAAGUCAUCAUGGCCCUUACGAGUAGGGCUACACACGUGCUACAAUGGCGCAUACAAAGAGAAGCGACCUCGCGAGAGCAAGCGGACCUCAUAAAGUGCGUCGUAGUCCGGAUUGGAGUCUGCAACUCGACUCCAUGAAGUCGGAAUCGCUAGUAAUCGUAAAUCAGAAUGUUACGGUGAAUACGUUCCCGGGCCUUGUACACACCGCCCGUCACACCAUGGGAGUGGGUUGCAAAAGAAGUAGAUAGCUUAACCUUCGGGAGGGCGUUUACCACUUUGUGAUUCAUGACUGGGGUGAAGUCGUAACAAGGUAAGCGUAGACGU